UACAGAGGUGGCAAGCGUUGUUCGGAAUUACUGGGCGUAAAGGGCGCGUAGGCGGCCCGAUAAGUCCCGCGUGAAAGCCCCCGGCUCAACUGGGGAGGGUCAUUCGAUACUGGUCGACUCGAAGGCAGGAGAGGGAAGCGGAAUUCCCGGUGUAGUGGUGAAAUGCGUAGAUAUCGGGAGGAACACCAGUGGCGAAGGCGGCUUCCUGGCCUGUUCUUGACGCUGAGGCGCGAAAGCUAGGGGAGCAAACGGG
RNAcentral lists this ribosomal RNA (253 nucleotides) under uncultured bacterium. Its description in RNAcentral is "partial 16S ribosomal RNA". It matches the Rfam family "Bacterial small subunit ribosomal RNA", at positions 524 to 776 of the family's 1533-position model. The record is from RNAcentral.